RNAcentral lists this transfer RNA (74 nucleotides) under Cricetulus griseus (Chinese hamster). It matches the Rfam family "tRNA". From Rfam's summary of the family: Transfer RNA (tRNA) molecules are approximately 80 nucleotides in length. The record is from Rfam by way of RNAcentral. Lineage: Eukaryota; Metazoa; Chordata; Mammalia; Rodentia; Cricetidae.
CUAGAGAUGGCUCAGUGGUUAGAGGGCACUGGUUGCUCUUCCAGAGGACCUGGGUUCGAUUCCUAGUAUCCAUA